RNAcentral lists this ribosomal RNA (411 nucleotides) under uncultured bacterium. RNAcentral's name for it is "bacterial SSU rRNA". It matches the Rfam family "Bacterial small subunit ribosomal RNA", at positions 507 to 916 of the family's 1533-position model. The record is from RNAcentral.
UGCAGCCGCCGCGGUAAUACGGAGGGUGCGAGCGUUAAUCGGAAUUACUGGGCGUAAAGGGCGCGUAGGCGGUCGCGCAAGUCGGGUGUGAAAGCCCCGGGCUCAACCUGGGAAUUGCAUUCGAUACUGCGUAACUAGAGUCUGGUAGAGGGAAGCGGAAUUCCGCAUGUAGCGGUGAAAUGCGUAGAUAUGCGGAGGAACACCAGUGGCGAAGGCGGCUUCCUGGACCAAGACUGACGCUGAGGCGCGAAAGCGUGGGGAGCAAACAGGAUUAGAUACCCUGGUAGUCCACGCCCUAAACGAUGAGGACUAGACGUUGGGGGGAUAAAACCCUUUAGUGUCGCAGCUAACGCGUGAAGUCCUCCGCCUGGGGAGUACGGCCGCAAGGUUGAAACUUAAAUGAAUUGGCGA